Molecule: long non-coding RNA, 823 nt
Organism: Thrips palmi
Lineage: Eukaryota; Metazoa; Arthropoda; Insecta; Thysanoptera; Thripidae
Exons: 7
Source: RefSeq, a predicted model, not a curated record
UCUGUCAAUCUAAUUUAAAUUAUUUUUCAACGUUUGUCUAUAGGGUGGGUGGUUGCUUCUUGCUCAUCUCUUUUCAUCGCACUCCACGCAUCGAGCCACCAGUGGAUGUAUAAGUCAGCUGACGUGUCAUCUCCAGCCACCAGCAACUUAUCAGGAAGAACUUUAUUCGGGUGUCUUUGCUGUGAGAGUGUCUCGUGCCCUAUUGAACAAGAUGUUUCAACUAAGUUGCGUGCCAAUUAAAGGUGAACCCGAGUGGAGGCGUUGCUGUUCUCCGCUGCUCUCUGCAGUGUAUUGGUGUCCAGUUUUGCGCAUGUAGUGCUGUGUUGUAAUUGAAGCAAGUGAGGUGUAUUCUGUGAUGUUUCACCGGACUUUUGAACAAGUAUUUCUGUGGUGUAAUUAUAGAUGAAGAUGGAUGGAACACAUUUCACAGGCUGAUGCACUUCCCCACUUUAACAAACCUUUUCAGCAAUAUAUCACCAUAGGGUACCAAUACCAAAGGUUUUCCAAGUCAUCUCCCUGCAAGCAACAAACAUCUUUUUGCUGUGGUCUGCUUUUCAAGACUGGCCUCCUCUCCCUGUGAUUUUCUGUAGCAUGUGAUGUGUUUGUUGCUGCUACUAUUGACAACGAUCCCAAUUCUUUUCAGUAGAUUUGUCAGGUGAUAAUUGUUUUAAACAAUCAAGCUCCUCCUUGCCUCCAGAUGGAGCUUCUCUUCACUCUCGAAUGCUGAAAAUGAAUCACUGCUGUACAGCAAGAAGAACAACGCUAUCAGUGGAAAUUCAUUAUUGCAGCAUAUGUCUUCUCUUGGCCAUCAGCAAGUCAUUUG